Molecule: ribosomal RNA, 371 nt
Filed under: uncultured bacterium
Lineage: Bacteria
Description: bacterial SSU rRNA
Rfam family: Bacterial small subunit ribosomal RNA
Source: RNAcentral
AGAGGGGGCAAGCGUUGUUCGGAAUUACUGGGCGUAAAGGGCGCGUAGGCGGCCACCUAAGUCAGACGUGAAAUCCCUCGGCUCAACCGGGGAACUGCGUCUGAUACUGGGCGGCUUGAAUUCGGGAGAGGGAUGCGGAAUUCCAGGUGUAGCGGUGAAAUGCGUAGAUAUUGGGAGGAACACCAGUGGCGAAGGCGGCUCGCUGGACCGGUUCUGACGCUGAGGCGCGAAAGCGUGGGGAGCAAACGGGAUUAGAUACCCCGGUAGUCCACGCUGUAAACGAUGAGUGCUUGGUGUAGCGGGUAUCGACCCCUGCUGUGCCGAAGUCAACACAUUAAGCACUCCGCCUGGGGAGUACGGUCGCAAGGCUG